Molecule: ribosomal RNA, 468 nt
Filed under: uncultured bacterium
Lineage: Bacteria
Description: partial 16S ribosomal RNA
Rfam family: Bacterial small subunit ribosomal RNA
Source: RNAcentral
GACGAACGCUGGCGGCGUGCUUAACACAUGCAAGUCGAACGGAAAGGCCCUGCUUUUGUGGGGUGCUCGAGUGGCGAACGGGUGAGUAACACGUGAGUAACAUGCCCUUGACUUUGGGAUAACUUCAGGAAACUGGGGCUAAUACCGGAUAGGAGCUCCUGCUGCAUGGUGGGGGUUGGAAAGUUUCGGCGGUUGGGGAUGGACUCGCGGCUUAUCAGCUUGUUGGUGGGGUAGUGGCUUACCAAGGUUUUGACGGGUAGCCGGCCUGAGAGGGUGACCGGCCACAUUGGGCCUGCGAUACGGCCCAGACUCCUACGGGAGGCAGCAGUGGGGAAUAUUGCACAAUGGGCGGAAGCCUGAUGCAGCAACGCCGCGUGCGUGAUGACGGCCUUCGGGUUGUAAACCGCUUUCGCCUGUGACGAAGCGUGAGUGACGGUAAUGGGUAAAGAAGCACCGGCUAACUACGUG